Molecule: ribosomal RNA, 253 nt
Filed under: uncultured bacterium
Lineage: Bacteria
Description: partial 16S ribosomal RNA
Rfam family: Bacterial small subunit ribosomal RNA
Source: RNAcentral
UACGUAGGGUGCAAGCGUUGUCCGGAAUUAUUGGGCGUAAAGAGCUCGUAGGCGGUCUGUCGCGUCGGAUGUGAAAACCCAGGGCUCAACCCUGGGCCUGCAUUCGAUACGGGCAGACUAGAGUUCGGUAGGGGAGACUGGAAUUCCUGGUGUAGCGGUGAAAUGCGCAGAUAUCAGGAGGAACACCGGUGGCGAAGGCGGGUCUCUGGGCCGAAACUGACGCUGAUGAGCGAAAGCGUGGGGAGCAAACAGG